AGAGUUUGAUCCUGGCUCAGGACGAACGCUGGCGGCGUGCCUAAUACAUGCAAGUAGAACGCUGAAGACUUUAGCUUGCUAGAGUUGGAAGAGUUGCGAACGGGUGAGUAACGCGUAGGUAACCUGCCUACUAGCGGGGGAUAACUAUUGGAAACGAUAGCUAAUACCGCAUAACAGUGUUUAACACAUGUUAGAUGCUUGAAAGAUGCAAUUGCAUCACUAGUAGAUGGACCUGCGUUGUAUUAGCUAGUUGGUGGGGUAACGGCCUACCAAGGCGACGAUACAUAGCCGACCUGAGAGGGUGAUCGGCCACACUGGGACUGAGACACGGCCCAGACUCCUACGGGAGGCAGCAGUAGGGAAUCUUCGGCAAUGGGGGCAACCCUGACCGAGCAACGCCGCGUGAGUGAAGAAGGUUUUCGGAUCGUAAAGCUCUGUUGUAAGAGAAGAACGUGUGUGAGAGUGGAAAGUUCACACAGUGACGGUAACAUACCAGAAAGGGACGGCUAACUACGUGCCAGCAGCCGCGGUAAU
RNAcentral lists this ribosomal RNA (534 nucleotides) under Streptococcus sp. W59. Its description in RNAcentral is "bacterial SSU rRNA". It matches the Rfam family "Bacterial small subunit ribosomal RNA", at positions 8 to 524 of the family's 1533-position model. The record is from RNAcentral. Lineage: Bacteria; Bacillati; Bacillota; Bacilli; Lactobacillales; Streptococcaceae.